This 492-nucleotide ribosomal RNA is filed under the name uncultured bacterium. Its description in RNAcentral is "partial 16S ribosomal RNA". It matches the Rfam family "Bacterial small subunit ribosomal RNA", at positions 29 to 507 of the family's 1533-position model. The record is from RNAcentral.
AGUGAACGCUGGCGGUAGGCCUAACACGUGCAAGUCGAACGGCAGCACAGUAAGAGCUUGCUCUUACGGGUGGCGAGUGGCGGACGGGUGAGGAAUACAUCGGAAUCUACUUUUUCGUGGGGGAUAACGUAGGGAAACUUACGCUAAUACCGCAUACGACCUACGGGUGAAAGCAGGGGAUCUUCGGACCUUGCGCGAUUGAAUGAGCCGAUGUCGGAUUAGCUAGUUGGCGGGGUAAAGGCCCACCAAGGCGACGAUCCGUAGCUGGUCUGAGAGGAUGGUCAGCCACACUGGAACUGAGACACGGUCCAGACUCCUACGGGAGGCAGCAGUGGGGAAUAUUGGACAAUGGGCGCAAGCCUGAUCCAGCCAUACCGCGUGGGUGAAGAAGGCCUUCGGGUUGUAAAGCCCUUUUGUUGGGAAAGAAAAGCAGCAGGUUAAUACCCCGCUGUUCUGACGGUACCCAAAGAAUAAGCACCGGCUAACUUCGUG